UGGGGGAUAUUGCACAAUGGGCGAAAGCCUGAUGCAGCGACGCCGCGUGGGGGAUGAAGGCCUUCGGGUUGUAAACUUCUUUUGCUCUGAACAAGGCAUGCCUUUGGGGUGUGUUGAGUGUAGGGGUUGAUUAGCGCCGGCUAACUACGUGCCAGCAGCCGCGGUAAUACGUAGGGCGCGAGCGUUGUCCGGAAUUAUUGGGCGUAAAGGGCUUGUAGGUGGCUGGUUGCGUCUGUCGUGAAAGCUCAUGGCUUAACUGUGGGUUUGCGGUGGGUACGGGCUGGCUUGAGUGAAGUAGGGGAGGCUGGAAUGCCUGGUGUAGCGGUGGAAUGCGCAGAUAUCAGGAGGAAUACCGGUGGCGAAGGCGGGUCUCUGGGCUGUUACUGACGCUGAGGAGCGAAAGCGUGGGGAGCGAACAGG
RNAcentral lists this ribosomal RNA (420 nucleotides) under Fusobacteriota bacterium. RNAcentral's name for it is "Fusobacteria bacterium partial 16S ribosomal RNA". It matches the Rfam family "Bacterial small subunit ribosomal RNA", at positions 355 to 776 of the family's 1533-position model. Lineage: Bacteria; Fusobacteriati; Fusobacteriota. The record is from RNAcentral.